GCGGAUAUAGAUCAAGGGUAAAUCAUCUGCCUUCCAAGCAGAGGAUAUGGGUUCGAUUCCCGUUAUCCGCA
This 71-nucleotide transfer RNA is filed under the name Haplomitrium mnioides. Its description in RNAcentral is "tRNA-Gly". It matches the Rfam family "tRNA". From Rfam's summary of the family: Transfer RNA (tRNA) molecules are approximately 80 nucleotides in length. Their secondary structure includes four short double-helical elements and three loops (D, anti-codon, and T loops). Further hydrogen bonds mediate the characteristic L-shaped molecular structure. tRNAs have two regions of fundamental functional importance: the anti-codon, which is responsible for specific mRNA codon recognition, and the 3' end, to which the tRNAs corresponding amino acid is attached (by aminoacyl-tRNA synthetases). tRNAs cope with the degeneracy of the genetic code in two manners: having more than one tRNA (with a specific anti-codon) for a particular amino acid; and 'wobble' base-pairing, i.e. permitting non-standard base-pairing at the 3rd anti-codon position. Lineage: Eukaryota; Viridiplantae; Streptophyta; Haplomitriopsida; Calobryales; Haplomitriaceae. The record is from RNAcentral.